Anas platyrhynchos (mallard) is the source of this 5186-nucleotide non-coding RNA. The record is from RefSeq and is a predicted model, not a curated record. Lineage: Eukaryota; Metazoa; Chordata; Aves; Anseriformes; Anatidae.
GAAUGCAGCCCUUGGCGUCGGGACAGGAGCUGAUGUUCCCGGCUCGGGCUGAAGAAUGUGGACACGGCGUUCGCUCCCAACUCGGCCCCAGCGUUCGUUCACCCGUGCGAGGGGAACGCCGGGACCUCGGCCCUCGCUGGAAAAAAUAAUGUGUUGCCAUGGCAACACGCUCCGAAACUUUUGAUGGCUUCAAGACGUGCCAGGAGUUGCAGGGCAGGCGAUCACGAUCACGGUGGAGGGGGCUCCCCAGAGCUUCCCAAAAACAGGGUGAGCGCCCUGCGGCAGCACAGGGCACCCACCGGCCUGGCCCCCUUCCCUCUGCAGGCACAGCAGCGCUUGCAAAUUUGCUUGCAUGUACCAUGGGAUCACGAGGCCAGGCGUGGUAUUACUUCAUGCUGGAGCCGAUGCAGAAAGGCAAAAAAAAUAAUAAUAAAUAAAAUAAAAAAAUAAAGCAUCGUGCUUUAAGGCUGUAAAAAUGUGGGUGGGAAUAUUUUCCAGUGCGUGUCAUUUUCCGCCGAGGCCAAAAUCUGCGUUUUGCUGCUCGCUGUUGGUGUUUUUGUCCCUGCAAGUUGGUUUUUCUCUAAAGGUGCUGCUGCUCCUUUCUGUUGCCCCACACCGCCAGCAUCCCAUGCCCCGCGAGGCAUCCGAGGCUCCCACUCCCUGCCCUUCGCUGCACAACAGCUGGCAGAUAACCGCGACUCCCCUGCCCUGCAGCUGCUCACAAGACAAGUCCUUCUCUCCUUACCUGCCUGUUCACCACCUGCUCUCUGGCUUUUGGUGCAAGAAGAGCCAACAGAGCUCCUCCGAGCACAGAAAAGCAAAGUGUGUUGAUCUCAAAGGCCCUUCCAACCCAAACCAAGCUCCGAGCUCAUGUCCGGCUGGUGCUCGCCUGUCCCAGCUCUUGGCUCAGAAACACAAGUGUGCCAAAACCCAGCUGGAGCAUGGAGGGAAAGCACGGCACCUCGGCACAAGGAGCUCACAGAGGGAAGGAUGGCAUGGCAUGGCAUGGCAUGGCAUGGGGAGAUCCCAGCCUUCGCUCCUUGGCUGGAGGUGAGGGUAGAGGAGCACAGCUCCAAAGCAUCAGCUUGCAGUGAUACAGGCUUCAGCUUUUUCAGAGUCAGAAAAGUCGAGGGAAGCAAUCCCCCACUGUGACAAAGUUCCAGGAGACCUCAUACAUUCAAUUUCAGGCGUCAGUAGUUAAAAAUUCCCCUCCCGUCAUUCCGCCCGAAGCCAAUUACUUUCCCUACAUUUCAUGCAAAACAUUUCUGUAAUUUUCCUAAGCAUGAGAACAGUGAAAAAUGCAUACUUUCUCUUUGAUCGACAAACAAAAAUUCUUACACAUUUGUGGUUUUGGAGAGUUUUCGCUCUAAAGUGGAAAGGGAAGUGCCGCUGCAUAGGGACAAGGGGACGCUGUGCAGGGACAAAGCGCCCCCCGAAGCAAAGCCCCCGGUGUUUGUGCACGUCUGUGGGGAGCCCAGCAGCAUUUUUCAUGCUUGCGUAUGGUGGGACGGGAGGUGGGGUGCAACCAAAAUAUGCUGAGCCUAGCUGAGAAGCCAGGGAAAGAAAUUACCGCUGCUCCUGGCUGCGUCAGAGCCAUGCUACCUGUCCAGAUGUCAUCCUGUCCAUCCCGACGAGGCCGUUUGUCCAGGCAGCGCUGGCGUCGGGGCUGCUCUGCCCCUACAAUGCCACCGCUCUGCAAAGCAUCUCCAGACACCCCAUGCAGAUGCCAGCAUGUUCUGCAUCUCUUACAGGCUGCCAGCCUGGUACCACAACGUCUUUUGGGCUGCUUUUGGUUGUUUUAUAGCCUGGAAGUAGCAUCCAGGCAGAAAAACACGACUGUCCCCAUUUCUCUGAAGUUUCCGGACAGGGGCACACGUUCCUCCUGCUCGCAGCCCCACAGAGCUCUCAGCCUGUCCUGCUCCAGCAAAAUCCUGCGAGCUGAACACAAAGCCCUGCUCCAGCUGUAGUCGAAAUGGAAAUUUUCCAUUUCCAUAUUUUCAAUGUCACGUUGGAAAAUGAGAAGCUUCAGAAAGCAGCCCCUGCCUAUUUAUUGAAAUAAAUGAGGAAAUAAAGAGGUGUUUUGGGCCGGAGACAACUCCAGCACUGCUGGGGGCAGUGGGCAUGGCGUUUAGCUAAAGGAACACACGUUUCCCUAAAAUCAUUUCUCACAUUUUUCCCUUCCCUUGCUCCGAGUGUGAGCGCUGCGCAGGGGAGGGAUGCCCGAACCCAGGCUGAUUUCACAGCCCCUCAUAACGAAGCAGGAGCUUGAAAUUAUUGUGCAGGAGCUUCUGGCUUCAAACCUGUUCGAAAUCCACUCAGGUCUCCCACAGACCUGCUCAGGGAGGUCUCUGAAGGAGACCGAGGAGCUCUGACAGUGGAAUCCCCCCUAGGAGAAGCCACGUCCCCAGGCUGCCUCCUCGCCCCUUGUCCUUCGGCUUCAGCCAUUCUGAUGGCCGGGGGGGACCCGUCGCUGUGCCCAGCUCAGCUUUCAAGCAGUGGCUGAGGUUGGGGGUACCCCUGGGUCCUUCUGGUCCCCCCGGGGCUCCCCGCAGCAUCCCCAUGCGGGCACAAAACCGGGCACCGAGCUCGCCCACCGGCCGGGCUUGUCAAGGUCACGGAGGUGGUGGGAAGGAAAGAGAAGGGAGAGCAAGGGGGGAGAGAAAAAAAAAAAAAAAAAGUUGACUCAGAAACCACAGGGAAUUUUUUGCCUUUUUAGAAUACUGGGAAGAGAAAAAAUAGCCACAGUUAUUCAAAGCAUCCCGGAUAAUCACAGCCUGUUUACUGUUUGCAUGCAAAGAUGGCAGGCAGGCAGCGCGGCGCGGGGACGAGGAAUGAGGAAUUCGCCCGGCUCGCUCUGGCCGCUUCUGCUUGGCCCCAAAAAGCCAUCGGCCGCCGUCCCUCACAGCAGUACAGGAGGAAGAGGAGAAAGGCCAGGGGCUGGGGAGGAAGGAGAAGCCCCAGGGUCGGGAGGAACGGGAGCAGGGCAGAGCUGGCACGGCGGGGAGAGCUUCAUUCCUGCCGGCCCCCGGAGCAAGCCGGGACUUGAGAUGGAGCCGAUGGCGCGCUCUGCCCGACUGGUUUGCUGAGAAGCUGCAGCGCCUGGCAGCUCGCCCCUGCCCAGCCUCCUCCAAAUCUUCCCCCAGAAAAAUGGGGACUAGCUGGAAGACGGGCGAAAUUCCCUCUCUGCCUAAUCCUGGUGGGAAGCCGGGGAUUUCUCAGCUUUGUAAAGAGGUGCUUUCCCUCACAGGGAGAUCGCGGUGAGCGCCGCUUCCCCCUUCCAGUUGUAGCAUUUGGCUCGUGGAAACAGAGAGCAGGGGGAGGAGGAGGAGGAGGGAGCUUCUGGAGCAGGAGGCCAAGCUCCGAGGAUGCUCCAAGGACCAAGCUCCAACCUGUGUCUCCAAGGGAGCCUGGAGGAAAGAGGGAAAGCAGGAGACGGGGCUUCAGAGAUGCUGCAUGGGGAGCAGCGUGGGGGGGAUGAGGCUCUCCUGGUGGCCACAGGCUGCAAGGAAAAUUGGGGGACACCACUGAACCCCUCAGCUGUGCCCUGACCCAUGCAGAGCCCACAGCCUCACCAUACCACAGGAGGGAUGGGAACAUCCCUACCUGAGCCACCUCCCCUUCACCCAGCAGGGAGCUGCUGCCCUGGCACGCGGUGACUGACUCGAAGCCACCGGGGUGAUGGUGGUGGCACUGGGAGCAGAGCCUGUGCUGGCCCUUUUCCAUCUUGGUAGCCAUCUGCAGCUCCUCGGGGACACGGGGAGCCAGGGAUGCAAGGGGCGAGGCACAGGGGCAGUGCUGUGGGGACAGAGCCCAGCUCCUACCCUGGCACUGCCUCCAGGGAAGGGAAUCGGAGUUGUCGGAGCCAACCUGCCUGCCGCCUCCUCCCCUCUCUGCAAAAUUUGGGAGGCAUUUCUCACCGGUGGAGGCUGCUGCAGCAGCAUGGGCCCUCAGGCUGGAUUGUGGUGGGUUCUCAGCUCCUCCUAACCCACAGCCCUGCUGCCUGAGCUGCAUCAAGGCUGUUCCUGCAGCUGGAAAGCAACCCUACCAAAACAAAGCAGCCCCGGCCCUGCUGGCUGCAGCAGCAGGGGACCUCCUGCCCCAUCCUGCCUCCUUUAUAGGUGGGCUUUGGGGCUUUCCUUCCCCUUCCUUUUUUUUCUUUUGCAGCUCUUGAAAAGCCGCCUGCAAGCAGCCAGACCUGCUGCAAGGCCGACCUGCAUCCGGAUUCGGGUAAAUAAAGCAGCGGGCGUGAGCGCUGCGGUAUGCCAGGAAUGCUGCAGCCCUUCCCCAGCGGCCGCUGCAGCCCCUGGGGAGCAGGAGCAGGGGGAGGCAGGGCAGGUACAACCCAGCUCAGGGCUUCCCAUCCCUCUGGGCCUCUCCAACCCGCCCCUAAAGGGAUGGAGGCUCCUAAAUUUUCAGCCAUGCUCCCCCACAGCCUUGGGCUCGAGGAGCCAAAGCUCCCCAGCGCGGCAUCUCCAAAGCCGCCGUGCUGAGCACAGCAGGGAGAGAGGCCGUGCAGCGGCUGCGCAUUGCAGCGGGAUGGAGACAUGCUCACAGGAGGAACACAGCGGAUAGGAAGGGUGGCUCGGAGCUCCUGUUCAGCACUGCCGUCCCACUGGUACCCACUGUGCUCAGAAGCCACCUUCCAGGGUGGGCCAUCAGUGUGACAGCUGCUAGAAACUAAGUUCAAGUGACUGCGGCCAACAAGAGCAUCAAGCCGGGGAGCAUCAUUUUGUGGCUGUGCAAGUCCUAAGGCAGCCCCAUCUCGACCACCAGAACUUCUGGCCUUCUAGAAAAAAAGCGUGGGGAGCCAGGCAGCACGGGAAGGGCUGAGAGGUGGCUGCUGAAGCCCUAGAAGAGCUUGGGGACCAGGAAGGGCUUGAAGACUUGGCAGCGAGGAAGUCACCAGGAGGAAGAGGAUGGUUGUGGGGCAUCACACGGCUGUGUCCUCCACCCCAACCUCCACUUCCCCGAGUGAGCACGGCAUCGCAUACGAAAAGAACACAGGGAGGGCCGAGAUGUGUGGGUUUUUAUUUAUUUUUUUAUUAAAAUAUUGUUAUACCAAGUGGAAUGCUACAGCAAUCUCGGUAUAGGGCGGCAUAACGAAACAGCCAGGUUUACGUUUAAAUACUUCAGAUAACUUAAAACGCACAAACAAGAACUCGUCGUCUUUGGCAGGAAAAAAAAAA